This is a long non-coding RNA of Oryzias melastigma (Indian medaka), 1024 nucleotides long. RefSeq lists it as uncharacterized. Lineage: Eukaryota; Metazoa; Chordata; Actinopteri; Beloniformes; Adrianichthyidae. The record is from RefSeq and is a predicted model, not a curated record. The transcript is spliced from 2 exons.
CAGCAUGAAGCCGCUCUCACCGGAGGGAAGGCUGCCGGGAAGGCUUUGAAGUGAAGGUUCUUCCAGGGAAAUCGGGUGAUGAAUGGGGAACCAAAUUCCCUUUAAUCAACCUGGGCUCUUGUGUUUGGAAAGCCAUCCGUCUUUAAAUCAAUGAGUCAUAAUUGCCUUUAAACCACAUCACGUUUGCAGAUUCAAUGAAAGCUGCUCCUUUCCAGAGCGCAUUCAUCAUCUCAUGAAACGCAAACAAAUCAAACGUUCAGCAAAAACAUGAAAUGAUUUUCUGUUGAUCUAAGCCGUUUUUUUUUUUCUGAAAACACGAUUCCGGGUCUGUAUGUUCAAUUCUCAUGAAGCAAGUCCUCGGAUCCUGCAUCACUGAACUAAAGUAUAUCAAAGUUUGUUUUCAAUAAUCUAAGAUGCUUUCAUUUCCUGAAGAGGACUCUGAAUUUCACUCCUCCUAUGAAUGACAGCUUUACAAUCUUCAUCUGAAGCAUCAGUAUAUUAGUUGAACUGAGUGCAGUUAAUGUGUAGAAAUCAUUCUGGAUCGGUUGGUUUACUGGGUGAAAACUGUUUAUAAAAUGGAAAUCACUGACGGAGCAAGAAGACGUUUUUAACGAGACCAGGAAGAUAAAAACAUUUGUUUGAUGACUUGAAUAAAUCCAGAAGCAGAAAAUCCUGGCUUAACUUAUCCACAAUGGACUAAAGCUGGAUCAUUUUAGCAAAGUCUGGUUUCCAUGGAGACACAUCCAGUGGAGCCUGUGAGGGAUAGCUGCAAUAAAGUAGAUUAAUAAGUUCACAGGUCCCUGAUAUCUACGCCUGGUUGGUCUUACCUGCUCCUCCUUAUCCUGCUGGGACGGAUGUGACAUUCCAUCAGUCAGCAGGAGCUCGGCAGAACAGAUCAAGCUGGAAUCAUUCACCUGUCAUGGAUGUCUAAAUCCUACUUUAGUGUCAAACUCUUCUGUUGUGUGUUGAUACGUGUGAACCUGUUGUUUCUGCUGGUCUUUCUCUAAAGGGUUUAUUAUGUCGA